GAUGAACGCUAGCGGCGUGCCUAACACAUGCAAGUCGAGCGGCAGCGAGGGGUGCUUGCACCCUGUCGGCGAGCGGCGGACGGCUGAGUAACGCGUGGGAACGUGCCCCAAAGUGAGGAAUAACUGCCCGAAAGGGUAGCUAAUACCGCAUAUUAUCUUCGGAUCAAAGGAUUUAUCCGCUUUGGGAGCGGCUCGCGUCGGAUUAGGUAGUUGGUGAGGUAAUGGCUCACCAAGCCGACGAUCCGUAGCUGGUCUGAGAGGAUGACCAGCCAGACUGGAACUGAGACACGGUCCAGACUCCUACGGGAGGCAGCAGUGAGGAAUCUUCCACAAUGGGCGAAAGCCUGAUGGAGCAACGCCGCGUGCAGGACGAAGGCCUUCGGGUUGUAAACUGCUUUUAUAAGUGAGGAAUAUGACGGUAACUUAUGAAUAAGGAUCGGCUAACUACGUG
Molecule: ribosomal RNA, 451 nt
Filed under: uncultured bacterium
Lineage: Bacteria
Description: partial 16S ribosomal RNA
Rfam family: Bacterial small subunit ribosomal RNA
Source: RNAcentral